CGUGUAGGCGGCUUCGCCAGUCAGGCGUGAAAGCCCCGGGCUUAACCUGGGAACUGCGCUUGAUACUGUGGAGCUAGAGUUCGGGAGAGGAGAGUGGAAUUCCCAGUGUAGAGGUGAAAUUCGUAGAUAUUGGGAAGAACACCAGUGGCGAAGGCGGCUCUCUGGACCGACACUGACGCUGAGGCGCGAAAGCGUGGGGAGCAAACA
This 207-nucleotide ribosomal RNA is filed under the name uncultured bacterium. Its description in RNAcentral is "partial 16S ribosomal RNA". It matches the Rfam family "Bacterial small subunit ribosomal RNA", at positions 568 to 774 of the family's 1533-position model. The record is from RNAcentral.